Regulatory RNA element from Clostridium sp. CAG:75, 110 nucleotides. It matches the Rfam family "TPP riboswitch aptamer (THI element)". From Rfam's summary of the family: Vitamin B(1) in its active form thiamin pyrophosphate (TPP) is an essential coenzyme that is synthesised by coupling of pyrimidine and thiazole moieties in bacteria. The previously detected thiamin-regulatory element, thi box was extended, resulting in a new, highly conserved RNA secondary structure, the THI element, which is widely distributed in eubacteria and also occurs in some archaea. The record is from Rfam. NCBI's taxonomy places the organism in Bacteria, Bacillati, Bacillota, Clostridia, Eubacteriales, Clostridiaceae.
UAAUACAAUCUGGGGAGCUAAGGAGAUUACUCCUAUGCUGAGAGGGACCUGUUCCGACCCAUAUACCUGAUCCGGCUAAUACCGGCGUAGGGAGAUGGAUUCCAUAUAUA